RNAcentral lists this ribosomal RNA (774 nucleotides) under uncultured Neocallimastigales. RNAcentral describes it as "partial large subunit ribosomal RNA". It matches the Rfam family "Eukaryotic large subunit ribosomal RNA", at positions 26 to 614 of the family's 3401-position model. The record is from RNAcentral. Lineage: Eukaryota; Fungi; Neocallimastigomycota; Neocallimastigomycetes; Neocallimastigales.
CGCAUCUGUGCAUGCAGCAUAUCAAUAAGCGGAGGAAAAGAAACUAACAAGGAUUCCCCUAGUAACGGCGAGUGAAGCGGGAAGAGCUCAAAUUUGAAAUCUUAAAGGGUUUCCCUUUACGAAUUGUAGUUUAAAGAAGUGUUUUCUGUUGAGGUUUUGGUAAAAGUCUUUGGAAUAGGACAUCAUAGAGGGUGAGAAUCCCGUAUUUGACCUUUACUUUCAACUUUGUGAUACACUUUCAAAGAGUCGGAUUGUUUGGGAAUGCAGUCCAAAAUGGGUGGUAAAUUUCAUCUAAAGCUAAAUAUUGGCGAGAGACCGAUAGCGAACAAGUACCGUGAGGGAAAGAUGAAAAGAACUUUGAAAAGAGAGUUAAACAGUACGUGAAAUUGUCAAAAGGGGAAGCGUUUGACACCAGUGUUGUUUUUCUGAAAAUCAAUUAAAGAACUGUUUAUGCUAAGCUGUUUAGACUUUAUCAGCUAACUGUUUAGUUUUGAGCUUUUCUUUAAUGCACUUUUCAGUUAACAAGUCAACAUCAAUUUCUUUUGCUGUAAAAAAGCUUGAGGAAGGUGGCUUGAGAUUCGUCUUAAGUGUUUAUAGCCUCUUGCCUAUGCAGUCGGAGAGAUUGAGGUCUGCAGCGUAGAUCCUUCGGGGCUAAAUGCAUUUGUGCUAAGUUAUAGCAUUUUAUAGACAACUUGUUGACUAUGAUUUGUCUUGUAGCUUACUCGCUUAUGUUAUUUUACCUACGCUUAGGAUGUUGAGUCAUCACACAUCUCU